Molecule: long non-coding RNA, 2783 nt
Filed under: Volvox carteri
Lineage: Eukaryota; Viridiplantae; Chlorophyta; Chlorophyceae; Chlamydomonadales; Volvocaceae
Description: long non-coding RNA (VCAR_LNC001232)
Source: RNAcentral
AAUGUUUUAUAAUUUUCGCAAUUGGCGCGAUUCGUAGGAAGGAAGAUUGCAUCAGUCGACCUUUCUUGUGGGCGAGCUGACGCGAACUCAAAAGCAGUUCCUUAUCUUUGGCCAUCGACAAGAUGCCGAAGUACAUUCAAUGCUAAUAUGAUAGGAAACUGAAUCCUUAGUGCCUUUUAAGCAAACUUGGUGGCGAUGAGGUUGUAAAAAAUCGGCCAAGCUUCCAAACUCUGUUACAACCGUAGCUUCCUCCUGCGCCAGAUGGAAGGAUUCUAAAACAUACGCUGUCAGGAGGAUCCGCGAUAAUCUCAUACUCAUUAUAAGAACAACGACUUGCUUUCGACAUAGCCACGCUUGACAAAGGGAAGAAAACUACACUUCUGAGUGACAACCUUUUGCGCUCAAAGCUGUCCCCGGGUUAUCUUCCCUUUUUGCGUUGCAUCCGUGGCAGAGCUACCGGGUCCCCUUUCUCGCUGUUUCCGAGAUCCCAGCCAGAACAGCGAAGUGCUUCGAUCUCCGUUGCCCGUUCGUUUCUCGUCCGAGAGGAACACGCUGCUAUAACAACACUAACCUGCCAUUUGGGCUGCUGCUGAUGCUGAAUAUACUUCGAACAAAUCAAACAGCAGCAAAUGGCUUUGUAAGGAAAAUGAACGGAUUGCAAAUGACCUGAAUCAAAUAAGGUAGAUCAGAGCUCCCAAGCAACUCCGCGUCCCUCCCCCUUCCCCCAGCCGUACGAACCGCGGCCGUCCCUCUUCCUUUUUUUUACCCGUGCUGCGACCCUCUACCUUCCUCAUCCGUCGACGUGUUAAUAUAUAUCCCACCGGUAUGAGUACUAUACGCACGAAGUGGACCUCAGGCCUCCGAAUCGGACGACCAUGCCCAUGCCUCGCAGGAAGUGGACUGCAAACGCCGCACAGCCUGACGACAGAGCUCCCAGGCACACAAGCACCAGCGCUGCCAGAGCCCAUCUAUCAAAACGCAUGAUACGGGCUUUCGACCGGCUGAAAUGAUGCAAAUCAUCACGCUUUGGCGCCCCUGUCGCACGUUCUUUUCGUCAGCAUCACGCCGCGCGUCGCCACGUCAAGCAGUAGCCAACCCAACCCAACCCAGGCCAACUACGCGGCGAGACGGGUAAAAAAGAAGGAGCGUCCUGCUUUGGCGGCACAUGGCCUAACGGAAUCCCAAAACCCGUUUUACAGGUCGGUACUCCAACUCAUACCAGCGAACUUGCCAACCGCUUCUAAGCUAACGCGCCCCGGGCACGCUCGCGAACCAGCGGAUGGCCAUUUGGAUGAAUCGCUCCAGCGCCGGGACCUGACGCCUGUACGGCAACGUGAGGUCAUUAAUCUUCCGCCAAACCUGCAAAGCAGGGUCAGCAGCCCCGUGAUACGGGUUUGCGAAGGCGGGGCGGAGGAGUCAGUGGAGUCAGUAGAAAUCGGUCAAGGCAGGCCAUGAGGCAACGCGCCCAUGAAGACCUGAGGCAGUGAUGGCGAAACGGCCAAUCGUGAUGGGCCAAAAUGGCUUGUUCCCCUUUAGGGGAUGGGAUGGGGAACAAGUUGCAGUGUAGCUCGCGCUAGUAAGCUCAGAAGUCGUGGAGACGAUUCGACAUGUGUGUGUGUGUGUGUGUUACAUGGUUGGGGGUGCGUGACCCCAUACCUGUAAGACUACCCAUAAGAGCCGAAGGCCCAAGGCCCUUGGGCCAAGGGCAAUACUACAACCCCUAAAAGCCACGAUUCGACAUGCGCCGGGAAGGAUGCCCGUCUCCACAAUAUACACGAACGAACACAUAGCCCUGCGGUGCCCUACAUCCCAUAUUUACGAAGCUUAAUUACUAAGUCGAAACUUUAAACUCUUUCUUUUUUCAAAUGAUCUCCCCAGAGAACCCUAGCCCGCAAUAGAGGGCCUCGCGUUUCCCAUGCCUGGCUCUCGGCCGGCUAUUAUUGACGUCAUCGGCAAGCCAGACGGUCUCCAGUGUCAAUGAUAUUCCAGCACAACUCUUGCUCCUCUAUUUCACACAGCUCUGGAACCCUGAUGCCAUACCCCGAUGAUGCCAUUGCCUACCUGUCUGUUUGUCUAUAUGCCAUACAAUGACAGUAAGUCUGUUUAUGUAUCUGUCUUACGGAUAUCCAAGUAAAGCCAGGAACAGGAAGGAGUCGGAGACACAUCCCCAAACCCCGCAACUCCUCCUCCCGCCGCCUUUCCCCUUUUCCCACCUGCCGAUGUUGCGGUGCGCUGUCCGGCACGUGCAGCUUGAGCUUCAGAAUCUGUCCGUAAAACACCAGAGUGAGGAGGCUGCGAGCUGGUGUAAGCAGCUGCAGCACCAACAAGGCCGCGGUACCGAUCUCACAAAAGGCGUUGAGCAGCAGCGCGUCGGCCUGGCGAAGGAGGGAGGGGUUGCGUGGGAUUACAUAAAGUCCCUGCAGUAACCCCCUAGGCACACGUACACACACACACACACACACCACGCCACACACACACGCACACACACCAUUUCCGCCUGCGCGCUUAAAUCACAGCCUGGCCCGGUCCUCAGUCCGCCUGCCUCCCUCAUCCCUGACUUCUCCUUCUUUUUUUGACGCCUUCAGGCAGCAGGUCAUUUAUCUGCAUUCCUUGCAGCAUAUGAUUUCCCCCUCCCCCUCUCCCUCCCCCUCCCCCUCUCCCUCCCCCUCCCCCUCCCCCUCUCCCGCGACCCGGGGGUGAGCACCGGGCGCACUCAGACCGCCUACCUGCUUUCGAAGCAUCGCCACGUGUAGGCGGCUGCCGUACCGCUGCCACAGAGCAUG